GAUGAACGCUGGCGGCGUGCCUAAUACAUGCAAGUCGAGCGAACAGAUGAGGAGCUUGCUCCUCUGACGUUAGCGGCGGACGGGUGAGUAACACGUGGAUAACCUACCUAUAAGACUGGGAUAACUUCGGGAAACCGGAGCUAAUACCGGAUAAUAUAUUGAACCGCAUGGUUCAAUAGUGAAAGACGGUUUUGCUGUCACUUAUAGAUGGAUCCGCGCCGCAUUAGCUAGUUGGUAAGGUAACGGCUUACCAAGGCAACGAUGCGUAGCCGACCUGAGAGGGUGAUCGGCCACACUGGAACUGAGACACGGUCCAGACUCCUACGGGAGGCAGCAGUAGGGAAUCUUCCGCAAUAGGCGAAAGCUUGACGGAGCAACGCCGCGUGAGUGAUGAAGGUCUUCGGAUCGUAAAACUCUGUUAUUAGGGAAGAACAAAUGUGUAAGUAACUAUGCACGUCUUGACGGUACCUAAUCAGAAAGCCACGGCUAACUACGUG
RNAcentral lists this ribosomal RNA (497 nucleotides) under uncultured bacterium. Its description in RNAcentral is "partial 16S ribosomal RNA". It matches the Rfam family "Bacterial small subunit ribosomal RNA", at positions 28 to 507 of the family's 1533-position model. The record is from RNAcentral.